Long non-coding RNA from Oncorhynchus tshawytscha (Chinook salmon), 453 nucleotides. RefSeq lists it as uncharacterized. NCBI's taxonomy places the organism in Eukaryota, Metazoa, Chordata, Actinopteri, Salmoniformes, Salmonidae. The transcript is spliced from 4 exons. The record is from RefSeq and is a predicted model, not a curated record.
UCCGUGUUAGUUCCCGGUGUCCCUCUGCAAGAGGUAGGAGGGGGCAGAGGCAGGCACUCAGGAGCCUCCUCAACACUCUACCUCCCACUAGCCACCCUGCUCAACGGCCGACAUGACCAGCACUCAGUAGAUAUGAGGACAACAGCAGCAUCCUGAGCUGACAAAGAAACACUUCAUUGAAGGAACAAGAGGCUGGCCCUCUGAUCAGCAGCACUUCCUUAAGAUGCACCUCCCCAGGAUCAUGAAGAGAACCCAGUCACCCCACAGAGAGACCGUUUCCCCUGUCCUCUCAUACUACUCAGAGCCAGCCUACCUGCAGCACCGUAAGGAUGUGACUAGAGAUCUGGCCCCGCUGCCUUGUGGAACGAGAAGAGGAGCCCUGGAUGAGGAAGACCAGGAAGAGACGCUGAGCCUACGGAGCAUGCCCAGUAUGAGAAGCACCCUGAGUCACGC